This is a long non-coding RNA of Anser brachyrhynchus (Pink-footed goose), 1584 nucleotides long. The record is from Ensembl. NCBI's taxonomy places the organism in Eukaryota, Metazoa, Chordata, Aves, Anseriformes, Anatidae.
AUGACGACCUCUGUUUUGAUGCCUGUGGAAGGAAGCACCCGGCCCACACGUCCUGCUCUGGGGACGGACAGGGCCGUGCCGCUGCCGCCCGCUGCCGCCGGGUCCCCGCUCCGCAGGCACUGGGUGCAGCGAGCUCGGUGCCUCCUGCAGCCAGGACCCCGGGGAACCACGGGGCUGCACCAGAUGCAGGUCACUGAGGCUCCAAUGCACCCAUCAAUAUUAAACUAUCGUUAUCUUACUAAGUUAAAUACUAUUAAAUACUCGUUACGCAGGGAAGGGAACUGCUGCUUUUCCUGCAGGAGGGAGUUCCCGGUUCCCAAAGGGCGCGGGGCAUGCCCCGUCCCAGCACAACCCCUCUGUGCAGCGCCCUGCUCCACGUCACUUACUGGUGCUGGGGACACCGGGGAUGCUGGGGACACUGGGGAUGCCGGGGGCAGCAGCCCCCGCCCCUGGGCCCUGGGGGUACCCGAUGUCCGACUCGUCCUCCGGCUCCGUUUUCACCACAAUCUCGUGCUUCACACCAGCCCAGCCCUUUCCUGGGGAAGAAAAAGCCAAAUUUGGGUUCCCUGGACGUGUGAGCAGACAGCAGCCAAGCAAUGCUGCCACGCGCUCCGUGGCGCUGGGAUGGGCACAGAGGGGACAAAACCUACCCCGGGGGGAAUGGAGACCCCCAGCACCACCCAGCCCAGGCAGCGACCACCCCAGUGGCUCCCUACUGCCCAGGGUCCUCACCCACCGACCCCCCCCAGCAAACCGCUCCGCUGGGCCCUGGGGGCAGCAGGCAUGGGCUGCCUGCCCGGGGGUCCCACGGCUCACCUGCACCGCGGGGGCCAGGGACUCCCCUGCGCCCCCCGCCCCGGGGGUCCCCCACGAACGGCUUCUCCUCCGGCUCCAUCGCCGGGGGUCUCGGGGUCCCGCCAGGAAAUCCUGCCCGAGGGACAGGACAGCUGCCUGCAGCCGCGCUGCUCCCUGCGAACGCCUGCAGAGAGACCCCAGGCAGAAGUCACCCUUUGUGCCAAACUGGCCCCAAAAUGCAAGCAGCGAAGCAGCACCACUGACAGCUGGGGACUGGGGGGGCUCGGGCACAGGGGGGCUCCGGAGAUCUCCAAGCUGCUUCUCCUGACGGCUGAUUCCUCCCCUCCCCUUCCAUCCUACCCCUUCCCCUCCCCUCUGCCUUCAGGGAGUUGCUGCUUUCAGCAGGGGCAGGCACAGGAGGAGGAGGAGGAAGAGGAAGAAGAGGAAGAAGAGGAAGACCGACAUGGGGGCUACGACAGCACAGAGCAGCCCAGGACAGGGCUCGGUCACUCUGCCCGUGCCCCCACCUCCCUCCUCACAGCCCAGCAGCAGCGGCACAAGGUCACAGCCGAGGCACGCGGUGGGGCCGGAGGGGAAGGAGGAACCCGGCAGGAGGAACCGGGAGAAAACCCUGCGGAGUUCGGAGGCGGCUGCGCCCCAUGGAGCCGGCAAGCUUUCCUCGGCUGCUGGGCACAGUUUUCACGAAGGCACGGCGAUGCGGUAGAUGUAAUCUCAGUGGAAUUUGACACGCUGCCACGAGCAGCGCCGGGGCAGCCCCAGAGCAGGUGA